This 253-nucleotide ribosomal RNA is filed under the name uncultured bacterium. RNAcentral describes it as "partial 16S ribosomal RNA". It matches the Rfam family "Bacterial small subunit ribosomal RNA", at positions 524 to 776 of the family's 1533-position model. The record is from RNAcentral.
UACGGAGGGGGCAAGCGUUAUCCGGAUUCACUGGGUUUAAAGGGUGCGUAGGUGGGUCUGUAAGUCAGUGGUGAAAUCUCCGGGCUUAACCCGGAAACUGCCAUUGAUACUAUAGGUCUUGAAUUAUCUGGAGGUGAGCGGAAUAUGUCAUGUAGCGGUGAAAUGCUUAGAUAUGACAUAGAACACCAAUUGCGAAGGCAGCUCACUACGGAUAUAUUGACACUGAGGCACGAAAGCGUGGGGAUCAAACAGG